GACGAACGCUGGCGGCGUGCCUAAUACAUGCAAGUAGAACGCUGAAGAGAGGAGCUUGCUCUUCUUGGAUGAGUUGCGAACGGGUGAGUAACGCGUAGGUAACCUGCCUGGUAGCGGGGGAUAACUAUUGGAAACGAUAGCUAAUACCGCAUAAAAUUGAUUAUUGCAUGAUAAUUAAUUGAAAGAUGCAAUUGCAUCACUACCAGAUGGACCUGCGUUGUAUUAGCUAGUUGGUGAGGUAACGGCUCACCAAGGCGACGAUACAUAGCCGACCUGAGAGGGUGAUCGGCCACACUGGGACUGAGACACGGCCCAGACUCCUACGGGAGGCAGCAGUAGGGAAUCUUCGGCAAUGGGGGGAACCCUGACCGAGCAACGCCGCGUGAGUGAAGAAGGUUUUCGGAUCGUAAAGCUCUGUUGUAAGAGAAGAACGGGUGUGAGAGUGGAAAGUUCACACUGUGACGGUAUCUACCAGA
Molecule: ribosomal RNA, 476 nt
Filed under: Streptococcus sanguinis
Lineage: Bacteria; Bacillati; Bacillota; Bacilli; Lactobacillales; Streptococcaceae
Description: bacterial SSU rRNA
Rfam family: Bacterial small subunit ribosomal RNA
Source: RNAcentral